Molecule: small nuclear RNA, 107 nt
Organism: Ursus americanus (American black bear)
Lineage: Eukaryota; Metazoa; Chordata; Mammalia; Carnivora; Ursidae
Source: Ensembl
UUGCUCGCCUCGGCAGCACGUCUAGUCGAAUCAGAAUGAUACGGAGAAGGUCAGCACGGCCCCUGCGCAAGGAUGACGUGCAAAUUUGUGAAGCGUUCAUAUUGUAA